AUGCCGCCGCCGCCGCCGCCGGCGCUGCCGGACGAGCUCCUCGAGGAGGUCUUCUUCCGCCUCCCGCCGGACGAGCCCGAGCACCUCGCGCGCGCCUCCCUCGUCAGCAAGGUCUGGCUCUCCCUCCUCUCCGACUCUCGCUUCCGUGCUCGCUACCGCGACUUCCAUGGAGCUCCCCCAGUGCUGGGCUUCCUUUGUUCCUGGCGCCCCAACUCCGUCCAUGAGGUGGAGGAUAACAUCCCGCACUUCUUCCCCACCACCAAAUUCCCUGGGCGCAUUCCCGACGACGACUGGGGGUACUUCCGCUACGCUGCGUGGGACUGCCGCCAUGGCCGCGUUCUCCUCGGGGAUAUGGAUUACGAACCCGUUGCGCUCGUCGUUUGGGACCCCAUGACUGGCUGCCGGAGGGAGCUGGACCCACCUGACCAGUUGGGCACCAGCUAUGGGGCAGCGGUGCUCUGCGCCGUCGCCGGCUGUGACCACCGUGCGUGCCACGCAGGCCCCUUCAAUUCUCAAGUAUGA
This 522-nucleotide ribosomal RNA is filed under the name Triticum aestivum (bread wheat). RNAcentral's name for it is "partial small subunit ribosomal RNA". The record is from RNAcentral. Lineage: Eukaryota; Viridiplantae; Streptophyta; Magnoliopsida; Poales; Poaceae.